This is a small nuclear RNA of Homo sapiens (human), 140 nucleotides long. The record is from Ensembl. Lineage: Eukaryota; Metazoa; Chordata; Mammalia; Primates; Hominidae.
AGCUUUGCAGCAGUGGCAGUAUCGUAGCCAAUGAGGUCUAUCCGAGGCGCGAUUAUUGCUAAUUGAAAAAAAAAAUACACACAGGAAAGUGUACAAAACAAAUGUGUGUCUCAGUGAAUUAACAGAAAGCAGACCCAUGU